Molecule: long non-coding RNA, 1535 nt
Organism: Salvia splendens (bonfire salvia)
Lineage: Eukaryota; Viridiplantae; Streptophyta; Magnoliopsida; Lamiales; Lamiaceae
Exons: 2
Source: RefSeq, a predicted model, not a curated record
UUAAGAUUAACAACUAAUACUAUUAUUCACUGACAUCUACCCACUCUCCCACGUUUUUUACACUCACGCCUCAAGGAUCUCACACACGUCGUCGUCGCCCCUCUUGCUGCCGCCGCCGGUUCCCCUCGUCUAUCCCGCUGCCCCUCUCACGGUUCUCACUCCCGCCUCCGUCACUCUCCCCCCACCCUCUCUCCCUGUAUAUUGUCAAUUUUCUGAAUGUUUUUUGGGCCAACUUGCAUACCGCUUUAGAUUAACACAAGUUCUUCAAUUGGUAUAAAUCAUGUAUAUGUAUAUGUUUUUUUUCAUUAUCUUGUUUUUCAAUUUGCAGGAACUCAAAUAUUUGAAAGUUCAAUUGAUGUAAUGUUGCUCUCUGGAAAUCUAUUACUUUAGAAUUCACACGACUGUUGUUGCUCAUAUUGUGUUUGAAGAAUUAAUGUAAAUUUUUGAUACAUUGAUUUUGAGUAAAUUUUCAAUAUUACUAUAUGGGAUUGAAAGAAGUAGUUCAAGCACAGUGAGUAGUGUAUAAAAUAUAUUAUGAUGUAUCUUCCUAACCACAAUAUCAGUAAACUAAGUUAGCAUCAAAGUCCAAUUCUACACCUAACAGAUUUUCACAAUGAUAGACCAGUUUUCAACAUCAGCUCCUCCAGAAAGGCUAGUUAUCUGUUCUUAGACAGUCAUGUGUAUAAGUUAUUCACAAUGGGAAGUAGACGUUUGGUCAAAUAUCUAUCUUUGGUUGCAUAUGAUUACUUUAAUGUUAUUAGUGGAGUAGUAUAUCCAUCAUUAGUUAUUUUGCAUUUGUAUUUUACUGCUUAACCAUUAUAUUCUUGUUGGUAUGGCAUACUGCUCUGCCUUUCCCAGCCUAUGUUAAUAGCUCGUAGGCCUUCAAAUAUUGGCAGGAUUGGCCAUUUCCAACCUCUAUUAGUGACAAUACUCAUUGUCAUCAUCACGUUUCAUGGAGCUACCAUAAUGAACAUAUUAUUUGCUUUUACUGGGAUUUAGUAUACUUAAAACUACCAAUUAAUAUUCAUUGUUUACAUCCUUGUAGUAAGUCCACCAUAAGUAUGUGCAGUGAUGGUGCAACAAGAAAAGGGGAUACUACCUGUGAAAUUUGUCAACAGGUUUGCUUUCUUAAAUAAUUUGUUAUCUAUCAUUCUAUGUAUGUUUAACACAAGGUUCCAGUUUUUCAAGCCAAGUUAUACAGCAUCACCCUCUCUUUGAGUGGGAUCCCCAUGAACUUAAGGUGAAGGUAAAAGAUGCCGCUGCGACUCAAGUCAAGAAUGCCAAGUUAUGGGAGGCCGCCUCGACAAAAAGAGGAAGAUGGUUGGAACAAUAGACAUCGGACCAAGCCUUGUGGGUAGUUCCUCCACACACACUACUAGAGGGAUGAGUCAACAAGUGGACCUAGAAGAACAUAAAAUCAAUGUUGCUCCGAGAAGAGAAUGAAACUAGAACCAUUCUUUGUCCAGUCUCGUCUGAAGAAUUAUGAGUUUGACCUCUAUUUUGUAAUUCAUUGUAUAAUCUAAAGUAUGACAGUA